This 653-nucleotide long non-coding RNA is filed under the name Cricetulus griseus (Chinese hamster). RNAcentral describes it as "lncRNA (ENSCGRG00015038821.1)". Lineage: Eukaryota; Metazoa; Chordata; Mammalia; Rodentia; Cricetidae. The record is from RNAcentral.
CAGGUGAUAUUAUGGAGACAUGUCUGAACCAUCAUUAGGGCCCCUGUGGGUGUCAUAAUUCAGCAGCCCUCAGGGACUGUGAAUGAUCACUGGUAUCCCAGAAGCUUUCAACAGAGGGUAACAGGUGCUAAGUCCUGAGAAUAUGGAAUGAAGAGUUACUGCCAUGGCCUUUGACAGCAUUGUGUAGUUGGGAAGGCCCAUCUCACACAGAGAAUGACACAGGAAUGACACAGGAAAAGCAACAGCCACCAACCGUACCCAAGGAGGACUGAGAGACCUGGUGUGACCCACAGCUGCAACAUUGUAGUCAUAUUGUCAACAUGGAUACCUGGCUCCAGGAGGCAGCACCAAGAGGCCAUCAGAGAAAUCUCAACCUUGGGAUUUGGGGGAAAGAGAAAUAGUGAAAGGAGGUUACAUUUUAGUAUGUGUUGAUGAUGUGUAUGGGAUGAAAGCAUGAGCAGAAAUAGGGGAAUGUCUUGUGAUAAUUAUCCCAGCUGUCAGAUACAAAAACAUCUGAACACAACACGUUAGUGGCCACACCCCUUUGGGCGUGGCUUCUGAUGCAGGAACUGGAAGGUAGGGAAGACUGGGGCAGGCUCUGUUGGGUCGAGAAUCAGAUCCAGAGGGCAGAGACUCCAUCUUCUGGAGCAGAA